CCUACGGGGGGCAGCAGUAGGGAAUAUUGCUCAAUGGGGGAAACCCUGAAGCAGCAACGCCGCGUGGAGGAUGAAGGUUUUAGGAUUUUAAACUCCUUUUGUUAGAGAAGAUUAUGACUGUAUCUAACGAAUAAGCACCGGCUAACUCCGUUCCAGCAGCCGCGGUAAUACGGAGGGUGCAAGCGUUACUCGGAAUCACUGGGCGUAAAGAGUGCGUAGGCGGGGUAAUAAGUCAGAUGGGAAAUCCUGUGGCUUAACUACAGAACUGCAUUUGAAACUGUUACUCUGGAGUGUGGGAGAGGUAGGUGGAAUUCUUGGUGUAGGGGUAAAAUCCGUAGAGAUCAAGAAGAAUACUCAUUGCGAAGGCGACCUGCUGGAACACUACUGACGCUGAUGCACGAAAGCGUGGGGAGCAAACAGGAUUAGAUACCCUUGUAGUC
RNAcentral lists this ribosomal RNA (440 nucleotides) under uncultured bacterium. RNAcentral's name for it is "partial 16S ribosomal RNA". It matches the Rfam family "Bacterial small subunit ribosomal RNA", at positions 338 to 795 of the family's 1533-position model. The record is from RNAcentral.